Molecule: ribosomal RNA, 192 nt
Filed under: uncultured bacterium
Lineage: Bacteria
Description: partial 16S ribosomal RNA
Rfam family: Bacterial small subunit ribosomal RNA
Source: RNAcentral
CUAACUCUGUGCCANCNNCCGCGGUAAUACNGAGGAUGCAAGCGUUNUCCGGAAUCACUGGGCNUAAAGCGUCUGUAGGUUGCCUACCAAGUCUGCUGUUAAANAUCANGGCCUAACCCUGGGAAAGCAGUGGAAACUAGUAGGCUUGAGUGUGGUAGAGGUAGAGGGAAUUCCUGGUGUAGCGGUGAAAUG